GGGGAAUAGUUGCACAAUGGGGGGAAACCCUGAUGCAGCCAUGCCGCGUGUGUGAAGAAGGCCUUCGGGUUGUAAAGCACUUUCAGUAGGGAGGAAGGUAGUGUAGUUAACACCUGCAUUAUUUGACGUUACCUACAGAAGAAGCACCGGCUAACUCCGUGCCAGCAGCCGCGGUAAUACGGAGGGUGCGAGCGUUAAUCGGAAUUACUGGGCGUAAAGCGCAUGCAGGCGGCCUGUUAAGUCAGAUGUGAAAGCCCGGGGCUUAACCUCGGAAUUGCAUUUGAAACUGGCAGGCUAGAGUCUUGUAGAGGGGGUAGAAUUUCAGGUGUAGCGGUGAAAUGCGUAGAGAUCUGAAGGAAUACCAGUGGCGAAGGCGGCCCCCUGGACAAAGACUGACGCUCAGAUGCGAAAGCGUGGGGAGCAAACAGGAUUAGAUACCCUGGUAG
This 446-nucleotide ribosomal RNA is filed under the name uncultured bacterium. RNAcentral's name for it is "bacterial SSU rRNA". It matches the Rfam family "Bacterial small subunit ribosomal RNA", at positions 356 to 793 of the family's 1533-position model. The record is from RNAcentral.